Molecule: ribosomal RNA, 376 nt
Filed under: uncultured bacterium
Lineage: Bacteria
Description: bacterial SSU rRNA
Rfam family: Bacterial small subunit ribosomal RNA
Source: RNAcentral
GACGAACCGUCCAAACGUUAUUCGGAAUUACUGGGCUUAAAGGGUGCGUAGGCGGUGCUACAAGUCGGGUGUGAAAUCCCUCAGCUUAACUGAGGAACUGCGCCCGAAACUGUAGUGCUGGAGUGAGGCAGGGGUGAGCGGAACUGAUGGUGGAGCGGUGAAAUGUGUUGAUAUCAUCAGGAACACCGGUGGCGAAGGCGGCUCACUGGGCCUUUACUGACGCUGAGGCACGAAAGCUAGGGGAGCAAACGGGAUUAGAUACCCCGGUAGUCCUAGCUGUAAACGAUGAGCACUUGAUCGGAGACUCCUCCAUAGGUUUCCGGUCGUAGCGAAAGUGUUAAGUGCUCCGCCUGGGGAGUAUGGUCGCAAGGCUGAA